CAGGACGCACCAAAAAGGCCAUAAGAGAAAAUCUGUGAACAUCUUCGGAUUCUUCUCGUCCCAAGUUGAAUCUGGCUCGACUAUCAGUCUUAGAAUGUUGAAUUGGCUGGGAAAGACGAGCUUCAGUUCGGUCAUUUCGAUCAUCUGGUCGUGGAUCUGGCCGAAGCUCCAAUCCAAAUGUUCGCGGGUCGAUCUGGUAAACGGCCCGAUCGGUCUGUAUGGUCUUGUCGGAAGAGUGAACCUCAAUUGGGACGUCUGGAAC
Molecule: long non-coding RNA, 262 nt
Filed under: Brassica rapa (field mustard)
Lineage: Eukaryota; Viridiplantae; Streptophyta; Magnoliopsida; Brassicales; Brassicaceae
Description: long non-coding RNA (BRAP_LNC008984)
Source: RNAcentral